GGGCACUCUAAGGGGACGUGCCGGUGAUAAGCCGAGAGGAAGGUGGGGAGUGACGUCAAGUCCUCAUGGCCUUACGGGCUGGGCUACACACGUGCUACAAUGGUGGUGGACAGUGGGCAGCGAGCACGCGAGUGUGAGCUAAUCUCCAAAAGACCAUCUCAGUUCGGAUUGCACUCUGCAACUCGAGUGCAUGAAGUUGGAAUCGCUAGUAAUCGCGGAUCAGCAUGCCGCGGUGAAUACGUUCCCGGGCCUU
RNAcentral lists this ribosomal RNA (253 nucleotides) under uncultured Rhizobiaceae bacterium. Its description in RNAcentral is "partial 16S ribosomal RNA". It matches the Rfam family "Bacterial small subunit ribosomal RNA", at positions 1133 to 1382 of the family's 1533-position model. Lineage: Bacteria; Pseudomonadati; Pseudomonadota; Alphaproteobacteria; Hyphomicrobiales; Rhizobiaceae. The record is from RNAcentral.